Molecule: non-coding RNA, 18 nt
Filed under: Mus musculus (house mouse)
Lineage: Eukaryota; Metazoa; Chordata; Mammalia; Rodentia; Muridae
Source: RNAcentral
CUUCAAAGCCUUUUCCAU